Molecule: ribosomal RNA, 244 nt
Filed under: uncultured bacterium
Lineage: Bacteria
Description: partial 16S ribosomal RNA
Rfam family: Bacterial small subunit ribosomal RNA
Source: RNAcentral
UCUUAGUGGCGAACGGGUGAGUAACGCGUGAGUAACCUGCCCUAGAGUGGGGGACAACAGUUGGAAACGACUGCUAAUACCGCAUAAGACCACGGUACCGCAUGGUACAGUGGUAAAAACUCCGGUGGUAUGAGAUGGACCCGCGUCUGAUUAGGUAGUUGGUGGGGUAACGGCCUACCAAGCCGACGAUCAGUAGCCGACCUGAGAGGGUGACCGGCCACAUUGGGACUGAGACACGGCCCAG